Molecule: ribosomal RNA, 497 nt
Filed under: uncultured bacterium
Lineage: Bacteria
Description: partial 16S ribosomal RNA
Rfam family: Bacterial small subunit ribosomal RNA
Source: RNAcentral
GAUGAACGCUGGCGGCGUGCCUAAUACAUGCAAGUCGAGCGAACAGACGAGGAGCUUGCUCCUCUGACGUUAGCGGCGGACGGGUGAGUAACACGUGGAUAACCUACCUAUAAGACUGGGAUAACUUCGGGAAACCGGAGCUAAUACCGGAUAAUAUAUUGAACCGCAUGGUUCAAUAGUGAAAGACGGUUUUGCUGUCACUUAUAGAUGGAUCCGCGCCGCAUUAGCUAGUUGGUAAGGUAACGGCUUACCAAGGCAACGAUGCGUAGCCGACCUGAGAGGGUGAUCGGCCACACUGGAACUGAGACACGGUCCAGACUCCUACGGGAGGCAGCAGUAGGGAAUCUUCCGCAAUGGGCGAAAGCCUGACGGAGCAACGCCGCGUGAGUGAUGAAGGUCUUCGGAUCGUAAAACUCUGUUAUUAGGGAAGAACAAAUGUGUAAGUAACUGUGCACAUCUUGACGGUACCUAAUCAGAAAGCCACGGCUAACUACGUG